GAUGAACGCUGGCGGCGUGCCUAAUACAUGCAAGUCGAGCGAACAGACGAGGAGCUUGCUCCUCUGACGUUAGCGGCGGACGGGUGAGUAACACGUGUAUAACCUACCUAUAAGACUGGGAUAACUUCGGGAAACCGGAGCUAAUACCGUAUAAUAUAUUGAACCGCAUGGUUCAAUAGUGAAAGACGGUUUUGCUGUCACUUAUAGAUGGAUCCGCGCCGCAUUAGCUAGUUGGUAAGGUAACGGCUUACCAAGGCAACGAUGCGUAGCCGACCUGAGAGGGUGAUCGGCCACACGGGAACUGAGACACGGUCAAGACGCCUACGGGAGGCAGCAGUAGGGAAUCGUACGCAAUGGGCGAAAGCCUGACGGAGCAAGGCCGCGUGAGUGAUGAAGGUCUUCGGAUCGUAAAACUCUGUUAUUAGGGAAGAACAAAUGUGUAAGUAAAUAUGCACGUCUUGACGGUACCUAAUCAGAAAGCAACGGCUAACUACGUG
RNAcentral lists this ribosomal RNA (497 nucleotides) under uncultured bacterium. RNAcentral describes it as "partial 16S ribosomal RNA". It matches the Rfam family "Bacterial small subunit ribosomal RNA", at positions 28 to 507 of the family's 1533-position model. The record is from RNAcentral.